RNAcentral lists this ribosomal RNA (465 nucleotides) under uncultured bacterium. RNAcentral describes it as "bacterial SSU rRNA". It matches the Rfam family "Bacterial small subunit ribosomal RNA", at positions 338 to 795 of the family's 1533-position model. The record is from RNAcentral.
CCUACGGGUGGCUGCAGUGGGGAAUAUUGGACAAUGGGGGCAACCCUGAUCCAGCCAUGCCGCGUGUGUGAAGAAGGCCUUCGGGUUGUAAAGCACUUUCAGUGAGGAAGAAGGCCUGCGGGUUAAUAGCCGGCAGGAAGGACAUCACUCACAGAAGAAGCACCGGCUAACUCCGUGCCAGCAGCCGCGGUAAUACGGAGGGUGCGAGCGUUAAUCGGAAUUACUGGGCGUAAAGCGCGCGUAGGUGGCUUGAUAAGCCGGUUGUGAAAGCCCCGGGCUCAACCUGGGAACGGCAUCCGGAACUGUCAGGCUAGAGUGCAGGAGAGGAAGGUAGAAUUCCCGGUGUAGCGGUGAAAUGCGUAGAGAUCGGGAGGAAUACCAGUGGCGAAGGCGGCCUUCUGGACUGACACUGACACUGAGGUGCGAAAGCGUGGGUAGCAAACAGGAUUAGAUACCCAGGUAGUC